GUAGGUGGCAAGCGUUGUCCGGAAUUAUUGGGCGUAAAGCGCGCGCAGGUGGUUCUUUAAGUCUGAUGUGAAAGCCCCCGGCUCAACCGGGGAGGGUCAUUGGAAACUGGGGAACUUGAGUGCAGGAGAGGAAAGUGGAAUUCCACGUGUAGCGGUGAAAUGCGUAGAUAUGUGGAGGAACACCAGUGGCGAAGGCGACUUUCUGGCCUGUAACUGACACUGAGGCGCGAAAGCGUGGGGAGCAGACAGGGAUUAGAUACCCUGGUAGUCCACGCCGUAAACGAUGAGUGCUAAGUGUUGGGGGGGUUUCCCGCCCCUCAGUGCUGCAGCUAACGCAUUAAGCACUCCGCCUGGGGAGUACGGUCGCAAGACUG
RNAcentral lists this ribosomal RNA (374 nucleotides) under uncultured organism. Its description in RNAcentral is "partial 16S ribosomal RNA". It matches the Rfam family "Bacterial small subunit ribosomal RNA", at positions 527 to 896 of the family's 1533-position model. The record is from RNAcentral.